CCCGAGCCUCAUCUCCGUCCCGAGUUCCUCCUCGUGAGCUGUGACACCGCUCCUCUUCAUGGCAAGCUGUGCAAGCUUUUGCACACGUACAGUUUCCUGUGAAAAUAGAACAAAGUUGAACAAAGAGACGUUGUGACGCAAGAGAUCUUGCAGUCGAAAACAAGGCAGGCAGAAGCACAGCCUAGGAUAGAUGUACAUGGCCCACAGCCAGCAGAUGUGCAUGAAGAGGUGAGCAGAGACAACGCCAAACGAGCAGCAACACCAGCGGAGCUACGGAGCAGCCAGAAUUCCGGAAGA
Molecule: non-coding RNA, 297 nt
Organism: Meleagris gallopavo (turkey)
Lineage: Eukaryota; Metazoa; Chordata; Aves; Galliformes; Phasianidae
Source: RefSeq, a predicted model, not a curated record